UUUAUCAAAAACAUUGCCUUUUGAACAACAAUAAAUAUAAGAGGGUCCCGCCUGCCCUGUGACUAUAAGUUUAACGGCCGUGGUAUUUUGACCGUGCGAAGGUAGCGCAAUCACUUUCUUUAAAUGGAGACCGUAUGAAUGGCAUAACGAGGGCUUAACUGUCUCCUUUUUCAGGUCAAUGAAAUGAUCUCCCCGUGCAGAAGCGGGGAUAAUAACAUAAGACGAGAAGACCCUAUGGAGCUUUAGACACCAAGCAGCCCAUGUCAAAACCACCCCCACACGGAAAUAAACUAAAUGGACCCUGCCCUAUUGUCUUUGGUUGGGGCGACCACGGGGAAACACAAAACCCCCACGCGGAAUGGGAGCACACCUCCUAAAACCAAGAGCCACAGCUCUAAUUAACAGAAUUUCUGACCACUAUGAUCCGGCAAUGCCGAUCAAACGGACCGAGUUACCCUUAGGGAUAAACAGGCGCACAUCCUU
This 483-nucleotide ribosomal RNA is filed under the name Brotula clarkae. Its description in RNAcentral is "partial large subunit ribosomal RNA". It matches the Rfam family "Bacterial large subunit ribosomal RNA", at positions 1803 to 2492 of the family's 2925-position model. Lineage: Eukaryota; Metazoa; Chordata; Actinopteri; Ophidiiformes; Ophidiidae. The record is from RNAcentral.